AUUUAGCGAGAAUCUGCCGGAACAGCGUUCUGCCGAGUGUAUAAGGCUGCUCCUACAUUGGAGGUAGAUGGGAUCUGGUCAGCCGACCCGGCUAGACAGACAGACAACAAUCCCGACAGACCCUGCGCUCCUACACUGCAAGUGGUUUUAGGAUGCAGUACAGUUUGAGCUCUCGACGAGAAAAGAAGUUUUUGCCCCAGUUAUGAUUAUCUGAAUUUAAAAAUGGACGAGGAACUUUUUGAUUUUAUAUUAAUGGACCAAAAUUUACUACUCAUUAAACCCAUGAGAAAGUGGGUUCAUGAGUUUAAUGAAGACCACAGGCAAAGCGAAUACUACUUAACCUGCUUACCUAUGCAGGUUAUGCAGGUGGUUAUCCAGACAAAUUUAAAAAAUAUCACAGAAUGACCGUUGAAACGUUUGACUACAUCUUGUCACACACAGAAGUGGAGUAACUUCAGGAAUUGUAUAGAGCCAGCAGAAAAACUUUCGAUUUUGCUGAGGUAUCUAUCAACAGGUCUUUCCUUUGAAGCUCUGAGCGACACAUUUCGCAUGAAUAACUACACCGUGGGUAAAAUCGUUGAAGAAACUGCUGAUGCUAUUUGGAACCAAUUAGCUCCAAUCCAUUUACCGGUUCCAAAUCGAGAAAGAUUUCUUGAAAUUGCUGCAGAAUUUAAUGACAUGUGGAACUUUCCUAACUGUGCCGAUUGCAUAGACGGCAUGUUAAAAUCAAAGCUCCUCGGAAGAGUGGUACCAUGUUUUACAACUAUAAACAUUUUUUCUCUGCUAAUCUUUACGGUGUAGCAGACGCUCGGUGUAAAUUCAUAUUCAUUGACGUUGGAGCCUUCGGAAAGCAAAGUGACGGGGGCGUAUUCGAACGUUGCCAGCUCCUUCACCGAUCGAUGACAGUAACACUCUGGUUUCAUUUGUUCUAGUCGGUGACGAUGCGUACCCUUUAAAGACUUUUUUAAUGAAACCAUUCAGUCAAAUAAAAAUGACCGAAGCACAGCGCGUUUUCAACUAUCGAUUGUCACGGUGCAGAAGGUGUAUAGAAUGCGCAUUUAGAAUUUUAACUGCAAAAUGGAGAUUACUCUACAAAGCCAUUGAAACAGAGGUAGAAAAAGCUGAGAAAAUAAUCAAAUGCAUCUGCCUUCUCUUCUGCAUAAUUUGAUUAUUGACAAAGAGAAUAUUACACUGAAUCAACGAGUGCUUGAAGACGCUCUACAGGAAUACCAACAAAAACAUGAAAGACCAGAUCUUGGCGGACGACGAUUUAACAGAUCCUCUACCGCUGCACAAGAGGUGAGAAAUUUCUACAAAGACUACUUCGAUGGCCUUGGAAGUGUUUCGUGGCAGAAUUAAAUGGUCUUCAACGUUAACAAUAAGAGAUAAACCUUAGAUACAGCGAGGCAGACAGAAUACUGCACUAUGGAAUUAAACAUUAUAUGAUGAAAAUGUUUGUUUUUUUUUACCUACAUUUAGCAUGAUAAAAUUUUGGUCGUUAAUAAUUACGGGGCACCCUGUAUAUACAUAUUUAUUUAUAAAUAAGUUAUAAUAUAUAUAUAUAGUUAUAAUAUAUAUAUUUAUAAUAAUUAUAUCAACUAGUAAUAAUAAACUUAUUACCUUCAA
This 1626-nucleotide long non-coding RNA is filed under the name Anthonomus grandis grandis. RNAcentral's name for it is "uncharacterized LOC126744885". The record is from RNAcentral. Lineage: Eukaryota; Metazoa; Arthropoda; Insecta; Coleoptera; Curculionidae.